GAGCUGGGAGCCUGUUGGCAGGUCCCUCUUUUUAUUUUCGCUGAGAGCUUUCUUUUACUAAAUGCCACCAUCCUUACCUUUCAAGGUGUCUGCGUGCCUAAUUUUUCCUGGUUGUUAGACAAGAACCCGGAUUUUAGUUGAACUCUGGAGCAAAAAUCCUGCAUCAUUUGUAGGUGGGUGUCAUUGUGACUGGCUGCUACCUCCCCAUGAGUCUUCUAAAAUAAAACCUGCAAAUUCACAUCUUCCCCAUGCUUCCAGAGAAUGCAUAUUCUUCCUUUGAAAAAAGAAAACCAGCACUGUUCAUAAUAGCCAAGAUUUGGAAGCCACCUAAGUGUCCAUCAACAGAUGAAUGGAGAAACUGUGGUACAUAUACACAACGGAGUGCUAUUCAGCCAUAAAAAAGAAUGAUACUCUGUCAUCUGCAACAACAUGAAUGGAACUGGAGAUCAUUAUGUUGUUAAAUAAGCCAGACACAGAAAGACAAACAUCACAUAUUUUCACUUAUUUUGGGGAUAUAAAAGUCAAAACAAACUCAUGGAGAUAGAGAACAGAUAGACGGUUACCAGAGGCUAGGAGGAGGAGUGGUGGGGGGCAGUUAGUGAUGGUUAAUUGGUACAAAAAAAUGGUUAGAAAUAAUAAAUAAGACCUAGUAUUAGAUAGGACAACAGGAGGACUAUAGUCAAAAAUAAUUUAUUUGUACAUUUCAAAGUAACUAAAAGAGUGUAAUUGUAUUAUUUGUAGCACAUAGGAUAAAUGCUUGAGGUGACGGAUACCCCAUUUACCCUGAUGUGAUUAUUACACAUCGUAUGCCUGUACCAAAAGAUCUCAUGUACCUCAUAAAUACAUACACCUACUAUAUACCCACACAAAUUAAAAAUUAAAAAAAUUUAAAGAAAUUACAGUUUGUUGGUUUUGAAUAUUUGACCAAAUUUUUUACUAAGCACAGAUAGAUUGAAUAUAAUUUUAUUGUCCUUUUGACAUUAUGAUAAUGAAGGUAUCUACACAGAAGUCUGAGAUGAGAAAAAAAUGAUAUAAUAUCCACCUACUACAUAGUGGGUAGUUUAUAUACUAAAGUUAUUGUUAUGAGAAAGAAUGGCUUAGGAAUAUUAUUUAAAAUUAAUUAAGGGGUGUUAAAAAUAAAAUACCAAGUGUAAAAAUGACAAAGGCAAGAAGAAACAGUAUAUAAUGUGAGUAAAUCUUAAUCUUUCCAAGAGAGGAGACAGUACAUAAUGUCUAAAAUUGUUAAACCAUGAAAUAGAAAUAUAGUUAUUUUAUUCAUAAUUAAGGAGAUAACUACUAUAGCACGAAAUCGUGCCAAAAAUGGUUGCCUCUGGGAAAUGUGAUUAUAGAUAUUAUAAUAUUUUGGACUGUAAAAAUCUGCUUUUAAGACUGAGGAAAUACAAAUAGGACAAUAUUUAUUUGAAAUUUGUAUCCUCAGGGAGUGUAAAGAAAUUAAUGUAUCCACAAAAUAAUAAUAGCUGCUAUUUGAAAACAUAGUUUUCUUGAAAGUUAAAAUAGUAAUAGUCUUCUAAAAAUUUUGUUAGUUUUGGUUUUCUCUUUAAUCUGAGUUAUGUAGAAAAGUGCUUAUUUCAAAUUAGGUAGGCUUGUUUUAUUCCUUUUUCUGUCUUUUUUCUAUCAACUAGUGUUUUAUUGUGUUCAGAAAAUGCCAUGCAUUAAAAGACUACUUUUGAGAAUUUCUAGAGAUUUUCUUUGUUACUAAAGAGAUUUUUGUAAUUGUUACAUGGGAUUUUAAAAAGAAUGUAAAUUAUCCUUUUUGUCAAGUAUAAUGAUUUCUGAAACCUAGCUGUGUCAGAAU
This 1816-nucleotide long non-coding RNA is filed under the name Homo sapiens (human). Its description in RNAcentral is "non-protein coding lnc-MMRN1-12:25". The record is from RNAcentral. Lineage: Eukaryota; Metazoa; Chordata; Mammalia; Primates; Hominidae.